AGAGAGGUGGCCGAGUGGCUUAAGGCGCACGCUUGGAAAGCGUGUAUACGUUUAUAGCGUAUCGAGGGUUCGAAUCCCUUUCUCUCUG
RNAcentral lists this transfer RNA (88 nucleotides) under Bizionia sp. RNAcentral's name for it is "tRNA-Ser". It matches the Rfam family "tRNA". Rfam says of the family: Transfer RNA (tRNA) molecules are approximately 80 nucleotides in length. Lineage: Bacteria; Pseudomonadati; Bacteroidota; Flavobacteriia; Flavobacteriales; Flavobacteriaceae. The record is from RNAcentral.